CUCUCGUGCGUUGGACAGUGUCAACUGUAAUGAAGGGCGGGAGGGCACGCGAACUAUCAGUAUGUCGUGUAAAGAAUAUGAAGACAAUGUGUUAUCGUUAGCUAAAGACUGGUGCUCAGAUGUAAACAGUGAAACAUUUACUUCUUUGCUUCAAGAAUUGAUUUUUCAUCUCAGUGGAAAACAUAAAGAUGAAGUGUUCCGUCUGUUUCAAAAGCAAUUACAAAAGCUUAGACAAGGAUGUAGCUAUGAUUCACUGGAUGAAGCUGACGAGUUCAGCAUAGCAGAGGAAGUAAAAAAUAAAAUUGCAAGUAGUCAUGGAGAGAGAGAAGCAAAUCGUUUCUCUGGUAUUUACCGGCAUCUUCGAGGAUGUACGCUUCUAACCAACUUGAGAAACACCUUGGCCUUCAUGCAGAGAAGCGCUGUACAAGAAUCAGCGGAUGAUGCAAAUUCAUCAUUUGACUCACAAAAUUUAUCAUUGAGAAAUAUUACUAUUCGUAGUUCAUCACAGGCUUCACGAACACCAUUUGCAUCAACAUUGCAAAGACACCCAGACAUGUUUGACACUGUGUCCUCUCUUCCAUCCAAUUUUGCUUCUAACACUUUAUCAGAUGCUUACCAUUCAUCCAGAGCCAUUUCAUAUGCUCAUGACUUGCCACAAGGAACCAUUGCUCACCUAAAUGGGUGUCCAGUAGUAAUGCCUGUACCACCACCGUCCAGAAACCCCUAUAAGAUGUCAGUAUCAGAAACUGUCUUGAUCCAAGAACUGAUAUAUUGCUUUCAAGGAAUAGGAGGAAAAAUCUUAAUAGAGGAUCCUGUCUCUCAAGGCUUCAAAAUAGAUCCAAAGGUGGACCUCCGUCCAUCGGUCCGGCAGCAAGUACUCCGUUUGGCGGAGGUUGGGUGGCUGCACAACCAAGUGCGACAGUUCUGUGAUGCUACGAGACCGGCUGGACUUGUUAACCAGAGCCUUGUAGCUGCCCUACAUGAUGAACUGACAGAAUACUACAGAUUGAUUGCUGUACUGCAGUCUAGGUUACAGAAGCAGUCAGAGGCUGUAGUUGAUUCACCGCUAGCAGAAGAGCAACUGCCAUCACUGACAUUGAGUCAAUUGGCAGUAUGUGUACGGAGCCCCACACUGAGGUUGCAGCUGUUGCUGUCACUGGCAGAAGCAUGCCGUGGCCGUCGUGGUGGUGCUCUGGCAUCCUGUGUACAUAGUUUUUUGCAGCACGGUGAUCCAAAUUUACGCCGUAGUGUACGCACACUCUUGGCAGCAGUAUGUCGUCCCAUGUAUGUAAUGCUAAGUCGGUGGAUUUUGGAUGGGGAAUUGGAGGAUCCUUAUAAUGAAUUCUUCAUAGCUGCAAAUCCUGAUGUGAAAGGAGACCGCUUAUGGCACGAUAAAUAUUAUGUUCAGGAAGCUCUUGUACCAAGUUUCAUAUCUUUGGCACAAGCUCGCAAAAUUCUUGCUACGGGCAAGAGCAUAAACUUCCUUCGUGAAGUGUGCCAAGACCACACGCCUAUAAAAGGCCGUGAAGCCCUCAGGCUCGCUUUGGAAAGCACCAACGUGGAAGCACUCUUUGUUGAGGACCAGGAUGGAGAGCUGCAGGCAAUGCUAGAACAAGCUUACCGUGAAACGUCUCGUCGUGUUUUGGAUGUUCUCAACACUCAGUACAAAUUCAUGGACCACCUGCAAGCUUUAAGGAGAUAUCUCCUGCUGGGGCAAGGGGACUUCAUUAGGCACCUUAUGGAGUUACUUGAACCUGAGUUGGCAAAGCCUGCCUCACAGUUGUAUCCUCACUGUUUAUCGGGGAUCCUGGACUCUGCUGUUCGUUCUACUAAUGCCCAGUACGAAGAUGAAGAUAUUCUUCAGAGGUUGGAUGUGAGAUUACUCGAAAUGUCAAAAGGAGAUACUGGUUGGGAUGUUUUCACAUUGGACUACCAUGUUGUCGGUCCAAUAGGAACAGUUUUUGCUAUGAACAUGUCUUCCUACUUGAUGCUGUUCAAUGCUCUUUGGCGAGCAAAACGAAUGGAAUUUGUGCUAAGUCUGGCUGUCAAGCGACAGCUAACAGCUGCUAAGCAGAUGAGAUGUCUGCCUGGAAUGAAGCCUUUAUUGCAGAGAUUACAUCUCCUUAUCUCUGAAAUGGUGCACUUUGUACAUCAAGUGCAGUACUACACACUAUUUGAGGUGCUGGAAUGCUCCUGGGAGGCAUUCAACAAAGAAGUCCAGCAAGCAGAAGGCUUGGAUGAUGUCAUUAGAGCACAUGAUGCGUUCCUGGCAACAGUUCGUGCGGGGGCUUUCCUAGAUGAAGGAACACAGAGUUUGGCAGCCCAACUGCGGUCUGUGUAUGACUUGAUGCUACAGCUCCAAGGCCUAGAAGAACAGCUACACAAUAGAGCAUCAGUGGAGCUGGAAGCUCGUAAAGAGUAUGAGAAGCUAGUUGAAAAAUCUGGCACAAACAUAUCAAUGGAGGAAAGGGAAUCUACACGAGUUAAUGAAUUUACAAAUAAAUACCUGCCUCACAUGCGCACUCAGUUGAGUGUACUGGCUAAAAGCUAUCAGGAUUUGGUGAAGAAGUUUCUGCUCAUGUUGACAAGUCAACCAGAACUAACAUUGCAACUAUUGAGUUUCCGUCUGGACUUCAAUGAGCACUAUCGAAGAUCAGAUUCAAGGCUAAAUGCACCUCUUACGUACCAGCAUCGUCGUCUCAGUGAACUGGGAGGCAAGCAUCUGUCUCCAACAUGCGUCAAAUGACAGUCAGCUCCAGUACCUUCUGCUGAGCUUCAGAAGGUAAAGAUUUCAGAUAGAAAAUGUUUCAUUCCUGGAUGGGCCUCAGUAGAGAUUUCCUUGAUUGCCAGUUGAAGCUCCCUUAUAGUGUUGGGAUGCAUAGAAGGUCAUCCUUCACCAUGAGAUCAAAUGGAGUUACUUGGGUGUUAACAAGUGGCAAGCUUUCAGUUUUUUACCCAUGGCACUACCUCCCAAAGAAGGAAAAUAAACUGCUCUUUUUUGUGAGUGAAUAUGGUGGAUUGAUGAACCAGUGGCUGAUAAAACAUUGAUGCUUUUACUGUAGAUUGUGAUCUGUACAAAAAUCUCUCUAUAUUUUUGUACUGAAAUCAUAAGUGAAGCUGCACUUAAGAAGAAUGCUGUGAACCUGCUAAUUUUUGGCUCUCACCAAAAGGAAAAAUCACUGUAUCUUGUGUAUACACGUCUCAAAUUCAUUUAGGGUUUAGUAUUGUUCAUUCAUGUCGGGUCUCGUGCUUUUGUUAAUUUCCAUUCCUUGUCAAAUCAUGCGAAAUAAGUUAGUUAUGAUAAAAAUGUAGUAUGUAAACUGUAACUUAGUGUUAACUGUCAACAGAAAAUUCUGCCGUUUGAUAUUACUCAGUAGCAAGUAAGAUUUUAUGUUGUUACUCGUUUACAAUCCUGAGUUAUCUGUUUUUGAACAUCUACAAUAGUCUUUAAUUUUCUUGUUUCAGAUCUCUGUUUCACUGUGAUGUGUAAGGCUGAUAUUUACCAGAUACUAUUUAUUUUCCUUUAUCCAGUAUGUCAGACAUUAGUAGCAUUUUCUGUAUCUGUUGAAUUAUAUUUUGUAGUCAUUUAUGUUGAUAUGUUUCUUGUUUUUUUUAUUUAAGAAUUUACCUCACUGUUGAUAAUAAUUUAAGGUCACUAAAGAAAUGUUUCUGUUAUUAUGUACAUUCUUUCUUUCUUUGAACAAAUUCUGUUUUUCUAGUGUCAGGUACUGAUAAUGUUGUUUUCCUACUCCUUUGUAAAUUCUGUAUUUCAAGUUUUAUAUUUUCUGUAUUUAAUUUGCUCGUGAAUUGGCAGUUUUUGUGGAUUUAUGACAUUUUAAAAAUAUUUUCUUUUUUUUAUGACAGAAGUAGUGUCGUUUCUUACAGUAUCUGCAACAGCUACAGUUGCUGCUUUGACGAAGUAUUGUGUGGUGUGUGUUUUUUUGCCACAAUACCAGCUAUUAUGAACUAUGUAAGUGAAAACUUCUAUUCCUUGCACUUCAUAAGCUGCAACAACCCCCUUGUCUAGUUCAUUAGAAGUCCAACAGUCCUUCCCAGUUGCUAUUACUCAUUCCCUUUUCUACAUCCUUUAGAUGUUCAUUUGUUUCCUUUCUAACUUUUUCUGCUGAACUUCCUGUCAUGUGUUUGCCCAGUACCAGUUUCUUAAAUAUUCCAAUUUUCUCUUCUUUUCUCUAUCUCGAGAUGCCUCAAGCUUGAUACUCUUAAUAUGUGCAGAGGCAGUUUACCUAUAUCACACAGGACACGCAGCUGUAUUGCACAGCUUUUUGGAAAAGUUAACUUUUAGCAGUUGUGAAUUGAAAGUAACAGUACUGUUUGGGACUAUUUGUGCAUGAUUGUGUAAUAUUUUUAAACCAUUGUAAAUAAUUGAUCAUUGAAAUGUAUAUAUUUUCACAUAUUUGAUGAAUCAGUUCAUUGUAAUAUGAACUUUUCACAAUAGUGCCGACACAUUGUUUGCUUUACUUUGUUAACAAAGAU
This 4494-nucleotide unclassified non-coding RNA is filed under the name Schistocerca americana (American grasshopper). Its description in RNAcentral is "gamma-tubulin complex component 3-like, transcript variant X5". The record is from RNAcentral. Lineage: Eukaryota; Metazoa; Arthropoda; Insecta; Orthoptera; Acrididae.